Papio anubis (olive baboon) is the source of this 148-nucleotide unclassified non-coding RNA. It matches the Rfam family "Metazoan signal recognition particle RNA". Rfam says of the family: The signal recognition particle (SRP) is a universally conserved ribonucleoprotein. Lineage: Eukaryota; Metazoa; Chordata; Mammalia; Primates; Cercopithecidae. The record is from Ensembl.
GCCGGGCAUGGUGGUGCAUGCCUGUAAUCCCAGCUACCUGGGAGGCUGAGGCAGAAGAAUUGCUGGAACCCAGGAGGUGGAGGCUGCAGUGAGCCAAGAUGGUGCCACUUCACUCCAGCCUGGGCAACAGAGCAAGACUCCGUCUCAA